UUUCCUUUUCCAGUUCAGCCUCCCAACUACUCCCUUUCGACAGUCGCCGGAGUCCUUCCUUUUUAAUGCGGCACAGUUCACACAAGAGAAGUCGCUAGGCGGUAAUGUAUGGUCCAUCUGUGCUUCAUGGUGGUUUUCAUCCUGAGUUUGCAGUACCAGCCCAGUUGCUUAUGUGCUCCCUGUCCAUAUCUUCUAGGAUCUAGUGUUGCUCUCCAUGCUUGAGUGUCAAAGAUGACGAUACACCCCUGAUGCUUUAUUGAAAUAAUAUAUAUUAGUUUUAUUCUAUCAGGUGUAAUGAUCCCCAUCUGAGGGCAUUUUAUCAUGUAAAUGGUCCUCCUGCUCCCCCCAUCUGUUUAUAUGUCUGAAGAUGAAUCCUCAUGAUGCUUAAUCUACAUA
Long non-coding RNA from Solanum tuberosum (potato), 396 nucleotides. RefSeq lists it as uncharacterized. The record is from RefSeq and is a predicted model, not a curated record. NCBI's taxonomy places the organism in Eukaryota, Viridiplantae, Streptophyta, Magnoliopsida, Solanales, Solanaceae. The transcript has 3 exons.